UGUCUUUGUGAAUAAUCUUGGUAGAAAUAAUGGCCUCUCUUUCAUGAUAUUCUUGCACAUGUGAAACUAAUAAUAGAUUGCGAACCCAGAGGGAAAACUGUUUUGGCCCUGAACUACGGCCAAGCAGACUACAAAGCUAUUGUUAAGGACACUGCCCUUAGUAGGAACCGGAUUGCUCUCUCUUUCUCCCCCCUCCCCGCCCUUCCCUCCCUCUUGCUCUCUUUCCCCAACUCCCUAGCCCUCAAGUCUAAACGUCAUAACAGUAUUUCAAGAAGCUAAUAUACUACCAUUGUUUUUCUGGCCCCCUUCAAACCUCACAGCCUGAAGAAUGUAUCUUCCUAAAGUUCGGGGGAUUGCUGAAAGAACAGAGGUGGGACAAGUUCAAGGCCAGAUGUCAAGACUUGUGACUGAUGACGAGUCCUGGUUAUCUUGCAUGACCUACGCAUGUGGGCAUGGCUUUUGGUUCACCAUCUGCUGAAUGGGACAAUAGCCUGCUCCCUUCCUGAUGGCGUGAGAAUCAAUUGGCUUAACAACCGCCACUUCAUUUCUGAAAACCCGUAUCAUGUGAACUCCUCCAUAGGAAAGUCUUCCCCCAAUGUCUGAUAUUAUUUCUUCUUUAUCAUCGGCCUGGCCUGUGUGGCUGAGUGGCUCAAGUAGACACAGGUUCUCGCAGCUGAGACGGACCUGGUUCGGUUUCUUUACACAUCUUUGCAUCUAGUUAGGUUGCUUGUGGGGUCAGUGGACCAGUGGAUCAGAGAGUGUCUUUUUAAUGGACUCCAGGGGAAGGUAAAUAGGUGUGACCUUUCUGGAGGGUGAUUUGGUGAAAUGUAACAAAAGCUUUUACUUAGCUACUACAUUUAUAACACUUUACAGUAAAGAGACGUUUUGAUACGGUAUGUAUAGCAUGUGUAGGAUGUUGACAACACCAAGAGUAGGAAAACAACCAAGUGUCCAAACAUCCGAAAUGCACAGUAAACACGUGUGAGAACUGCUUGCAAUGCAUCAUCCAUCACAAUAAUGGUCUGUAUUUACUCAACAACAUUGAGCACCUACUGUGUGAGGGGCAAUGUUUGUGAUGCCAGGGUUACACCAGUGCAGUGGUUAAUUUCAUGUCAGGUUGACUCCCCCCGGGGAGCCCAGA
This is a long non-coding RNA of Phyllostomus discolor (pale spear-nosed bat), 1141 nucleotides long. RefSeq lists it as uncharacterized. The record is from RefSeq and is a predicted model, not a curated record. The transcript has 2 exons. NCBI's taxonomy places the organism in Eukaryota, Metazoa, Chordata, Mammalia, Chiroptera, Phyllostomidae.